RNAcentral lists this ribosomal RNA (253 nucleotides) under uncultured bacterium. RNAcentral's name for it is "partial 16S ribosomal RNA". It matches the Rfam family "Bacterial small subunit ribosomal RNA", at positions 524 to 776 of the family's 1533-position model. The record is from RNAcentral.
UACGAAUGGGGCAAGCGUUGUUCGGAAUCACUGGGCUUAAAGCGUGCGCAGGCGGCCAUGCAAGUCAGGAGUGAAAUCCCCGGGCUCAACCCGGGAAUUGCUUUUGAAACUGCAUGGCUAGAAUAUGGGAGAGGUUAGCAGAAUUCCGAGUGUAGAGGUGAAAUUCGCAGAUAUUCGGAGGAAUACCAGUGGCGAAGGCGGCUAACUGGACCAUUAUUGACGCUCAGGCACGAAAGCGUGGGUAGCAAACAGG